RNAcentral lists this small nucleolar RNA (76 nucleotides) under Ornithorhynchus anatinus (platypus). Lineage: Eukaryota; Metazoa; Chordata; Mammalia; Monotremata; Ornithorhynchidae. The record is from RNAcentral.
CUGCAGUGAUGUAAGAAUUUCUUCACCUGAAAGAACCGUGUCGAUCGAACGUACGAGCUUUUUAACCCUGAGCCGU